CGAAAGUUAGAGGUUCGAAGGCGAUCAGAUACCGCCCUAGUUCUAACCAUAAACGAUGCCAGCCAGCGAUCCGGCUGCGUUCCUCAAAUGACGCGCCGGGCAGCUUCCGGGAAACCAAAGCUUUUGGGUUCCGGGGGAAGUAUGGUUGCAAGGCUUAAACUUAAAGGAAUUGACGGAAGGGCACCACCAGGAUUGGAGCCUGCGGCUUAAUUUGACUCAACACGGGGAAACUCACCCGAACCGGACACAGGAAGGAUUGACAGAUUAAGAGCUCUUUCUUGAUUCUGUGGGUGGUGGUGCAUGGCCGUUUCUAGUUGGUGGAGUGAUUUGUCUGCUUAAUUGCGUCAACGAACGAGAUUCUAGCCUGCUAAAUAGGCGUUCCGAUCCUUCGAGUCGGACGCUCUUCUUAGAGGGACAGGCGGCGUUUAGCCGCACGAGACAGAGCUAAAACAGGUCUGUGAUGCCCUUCGAUGUCCGGGGCCGCACGCGCGCUACAUUGAAGGAAUCAGCGUGUGCUUUCCCUGUCCGACAGGACUGGGUAACCCGUUGAACCUCCUUCGUGCUGGGGAUAGCAAAAUGCAAUUAAUUGCUUGAACGAGGAAUUCCCAGUAAGCACGAGUCAUCAGCUCGUGUUGACUAUGUCCCUGCCCUUUGUGCACACCGCCCGUCGCUACUACCGAUUGAAUGGUUUAGUGAGGUCCUCGGACUGGCGCUCGGAUUGGCUUUCGGGUCGAGCCGACGUGCCGGAAAGAUGACCAAACUUGAUCAUUUAGAGGAAGUAAAAGUCGUAACAAGG
RNAcentral lists this ribosomal RNA (796 nucleotides) under Kaestneria pullata. RNAcentral's name for it is "SSU rRNA". It matches the Rfam family "Eukaryotic small subunit ribosomal RNA", at positions 984 to 1799 of the family's 1831-position model. The record is from RNAcentral. Lineage: Eukaryota; Metazoa; Arthropoda; Arachnida; Araneae; Linyphiidae.